Molecule: ribosomal RNA, 425 nt
Filed under: uncultured prokaryote
Description: bacterial SSU rRNA
Rfam family: Bacterial small subunit ribosomal RNA
Source: RNAcentral
AAGAACCUUACCAAAUCUUGACAUCCUUUGAAAACUCUAGAGAUAGAGCCUUCCCCUUCGGGGGACAAAGUGACAGGUGGUGCAUGGUUGUCGUCAGCUCGUGUCGUGAGAUGUUGGGUUAAGUCCCGCAACGAGCGCAACCCUUAAGCUUAGUUGCCAUCAUUAAGUUGGGCACUCUAGGUUGACUGCCGGUGACAAACCGGAGGAAGGUGGGGAUGACGUCAAAUCAUCAUGCCCCUUAUGAUUUGGGCUACACACGUGCUACAAUGGACAAUACAAAGGGCAGCUAAACCGCGAGGUCAUGCAAAUCCCAUAAAGUUGUUCUCAGUUCGGAUUGUAGUCUGCAACUCGACUACAUGAAGCUGGAAUCGCUAGUAAUCGUAGAUCAGCAUGCUACGGUGAAUACGUUCCCGGGUCUUGUACAC